RNAcentral lists this ribosomal RNA (467 nucleotides) under uncultured bacterium. Its description in RNAcentral is "bacterial SSU rRNA". It matches the Rfam family "Bacterial small subunit ribosomal RNA", at positions 355 to 825 of the family's 1533-position model. The record is from RNAcentral.
UGAGGAAUAUUGGACAAUGGGCGCAAGCCUGAUCCAGCCAUGCCGCGUGCAGGAUGACGGUCCUAUGGAUUGUAAACUGCUUUUGUACAGGAAGAAACAGUUCUACGUGUAGAACCUUGACGGUACUGUAAGAAUAAGGAUCGGCUAACUCCGUGCCAGCAGCCGCGGUAAUACGGAGGAUCCAAGCGUUAUCCGGAAUCAUUGGGUUUAAAGGGUCCGUAGGCGGUUAGAUAAGUCAGUGGUGAAAGCCCAUCGCUCAACGGUGGAACGGCCAUUGAUACUGUCUGACUUGAAUUAUUAGGAAGUAACUAGAAUAUGUAGUGUAGCGGUGAAAUGCUUAGAGAUUACAUGGAAUACCAAUUGCGAAGGCAGGUUACUACUAAUGGAUUGACGCUGAUGGACGAAAGCGUGGGUAGCGAACAGGAUUAGAUACCCAAGUAGUCCCUGAGCGGGCUGGCAAGGCGCAU